AGCAGCAGGCGCGAAACCUCUGCAAUAGGCGAAAGCUUGACAGGGUUACUCUGAGUGAUUUCCGUUAAGGAGAUCUUUUGGCACCUCUAAAAAUGGUGCAGAAUAAGGGGUGGGCAAGUCUGGUGUCAGCCGCCGCGGUAAUAC
Molecule: ribosomal RNA, 144 nt
Filed under: uncultured archaeon
Lineage: Archaea
Description: partial 16S ribosomal RNA
Rfam family: Archaeal small subunit ribosomal RNA
Source: RNAcentral